AGGAAGGCCACCCAGAGCCCAGAAAACAGAGGCAACCGGCCAGUGUUUGCCAAAUGAAGGCUGACGGAGCUGAAUGCUUUGGUGAGAGAGGAAGGAGAUUACGCAUGUGCAAAACAUGGCAUCCGCUUUAAUAAACAGCGAUUCCACAAGGUAGGUGGCACCCCGACUGACAAGGAAACUGAGGACCAGCAAAGAAACAAUCCAAGGUGUGAAGAGAAGGGACUGGAACCGGGACGAGCCCGAUUCCAACACUGCACCUCUUUCCACUCAGCCGCGGAGAGAGUACAAGCACAAAGCAUGUAUUCCAAGGGGAGACUGACAGUCCGUCCUGCCCUCACGCUCCACUUUGAAAAUAACAACAGCAAAGCAUAAGAAAAGAUCUCUUAAGAACAGACAUCCUACUAUCUCCAGG
RNAcentral lists this long non-coding RNA (412 nucleotides) under Equus caballus (horse). RNAcentral's name for it is "lncRNA (ENSECAG00000033291.2)". The record is from RNAcentral. Lineage: Eukaryota; Metazoa; Chordata; Mammalia; Perissodactyla; Equidae.